CUGUCGCUGGCUAGGUCAUUCUAGCAUGUGCACGUCUACUCUUUUAAACACACUUGUGAACCAUGUAGAUCGAGUCCAUCGAAAAGUAGCAUCAAACUACCUAAUAGAGGGCUGAUUGGCUUAUUGAAAAGUAUGAGGCUUAUUGAAAAGUAGUGUGAACUACCUAAUAGAAAGCUUAGUACCUAAUAGAGGGCUGGUCGGCUUAUCGAAAAGUGGUAAGAACUACCUAAUAGAGGGCUGAGUUGGCUCAUUGAAACGUAGUUGGCUAAGUAUGAGGCUUAUUGAAAAGUAGUGUGAACUACCUAAUAGAAAGCUUAGUACUCUAGUUGGUUGGCUUAUCGAAAAGUAUGAGGCUUAUUGAAAAGUAGUGUAAACUACCUAAUAGAAAGCUGAGUACCUAAUAGAGGGCUACUCCUAGUUGGCUUAUUGAAAAGUACGGCUUAUUGAAAAGUGGUGUGAACUACCUAAUAGAAAGCUUAGUACCUAAUAGAGGGCUAGUUGGCUUAACUACCUAAUAGAGGGCCCCAGAAGAUCUAUGUUUAAUCUACACCACAUCGUAUGUCCAGAAAAUAUAAAUAAAUUACAACUUUCAGCAAUGGAUCUCUUGGUUCUCGCAUCGAUGAAGAACGCAGCGAAUCGCGAUAAGUAAUGUGAAUUGCAGAUUUUCAGUGAAUCAUCGAAUCUUUGAACGCACCUUGCGCCCCUUGGUAUUCCGAGGGGCAUGCCUGUUUGAGUGUCAUUUUAUCAUCAACUCAUUAGUCUUUGAUUAGGCUUUUGGGCUUGGACUUGGGAAUUGCUGGCUUGAUCUUUACUCAUUGAAAAGUAUCUAAUACUUAAUAGAGGGUAGAGUGUAGUCGGCUGUCCUUAAAUGCAUUAGCGAGUGUUAGUCUACAUGGCACGGCCUCUUGACGUGAUAAUGAUCGUCGUGGGCUGGAAGUGUAGUGUCUGGCUUCUAAUCGUUGAUUGCGUGCAUACGGCCCAUAAAGCUGGAAGCGCAACAAAAUACGACUGCGUGCAUACGGCCCUUAAAGCUGGAAGCGUAGU
RNAcentral lists this ribosomal RNA (1044 nucleotides) under uncultured Leccinum. RNAcentral's name for it is "eukaryotic LSU rRNA". The stretch from base 585 to 739 matches the Rfam family "5.8S ribosomal RNA". Lineage: Eukaryota; Fungi; Basidiomycota; Agaricomycetes; Boletales; Boletaceae. The record is from RNAcentral.